RNAcentral lists this unclassified non-coding RNA (421 nucleotides) under uncultured Sebacina. Its description in RNAcentral is "sequence contains ITS2". The stretch from base 1 to 154 matches the Rfam family "5.8S ribosomal RNA". Lineage: Eukaryota; Fungi; Basidiomycota; Agaricomycetes; Sebacinales; Sebacinaceae. The record is from RNAcentral.
AACUUUCGCCAACGGAUCUCUUGGCUCUCGCAUCGAUGAAGAAUGCAGUGAAAUGCGAUAAGUAAUGUGAAUUGCAGAAUUCAGUGAAUCAUUGAAUCCUUGAACACACCUUGCACCCUUUGGAAUUCCAAAGGGUAUGCUUGUUUGAGUGUCAUUGUACUCUCACACUCUCCGAUCCUCUGGAUUUGGGGAGCAGUGGACUUGGGUGCUUGCUGCUUUCCUUGCAGCUCACCUCAAAUGCAUCAGUGCAUCUCUUGAUUGGACAUAGUACGGCGUGAUAAGUGUCUUCGCCGGCACCUCAUAAGAGGGUGGCUGAUUGGGAGCUCUGUGCUUUCCAACCAUCUUCGGACAAUCUCUGACAACUUGACCUCAAAUCGAGUAGGACUACCUGCUGAACUUAAGCAUAUCAAUAAGCGGAGGC